Molecule: ribosomal RNA, 345 nt
Filed under: Necrosciinae sp. 5 SB-2021
Lineage: Eukaryota; Metazoa; Arthropoda; Insecta; Phasmatodea; Lonchodidae
Description: partial small subunit ribosomal RNA
Source: RNAcentral
UAGUUAUGUUCUUUAAACUUAAAGAAUUUGGCGGUGUUUUAUUCUAUUCAGAGGAAUUUGCUCCGUUAUCGAUAAUCCUCGUUUUAUCUUGCUUGAUUUUGCUUUUAGUAUGUAUAUCGCUGUUAUAAGUUUAUUUUUUUAGAAUAAAAAUUUACUUUAUUUAUUAUUUUAAUUUAUUUCAAGUCAAGGUGCAGCCAAUAAUUAAGUGUGAAGUGAAUUACAUUAUUUUAUGAAUAUACGUAUUUAUAUUUUAAAUUUAUAAUGAAGGCGGAUUUGAUAGUAAUUUUAAUUAUAGUGUUAUUUUGAUUUUAGUUCUAAAAUAAGUACACAUCGCCCGUCGCUCUA